Molecule: ribosomal RNA, 274 nt
Filed under: uncultured bacterium
Lineage: Bacteria
Description: partial 16S ribosomal RNA
Rfam family: Bacterial small subunit ribosomal RNA
Source: RNAcentral
AUACGGAGGGGGCUAGCGUUGUUCGGAUUUACUGGGCGUAAAGCGCGCGUAGGCGGUAUAUCAAGUUAGGCGUGAAAGCCCCGGGCUCAACCCGGGAACUGCGCUUAUUACUGAUAAACUAGAGUCCGGGAGAGGGUGGCGGAAUUCCCAGUGUAGAGGUGAAAUUCGUAGAUAUUGGGAAGAACACCAGUUGCGAAGGCGGCCACCUGGACCGGUACUGACGCUGAGGUGCGAAAGCGUGGGGAGCAAACAGGAUUAGAAACCCUGGUAGUCC